UACAGAGGGUGCGAGCGUUAAUCGGAAUUACUGGGCGUAAAGCGCGCGUAGGCGGCUUUGCAAGUCGGGUGUGAAAUCCCCAGGCUUAACCUGGGAACUGCAUUCGAGACUGCAUUGCUAGAGUAUGGGAGAGGGAAGUGGAAUUUCCGGUGUAGCGGUGAAAUGCGUAGAUAUGCGGAGGAACACCGAUGGCGAAGGCAAUCCCCUGGGCCUGUACUGACGCUCAUGCACGAAAGCGUGGGGAGCAAACAGG
This 253-nucleotide ribosomal RNA is filed under the name uncultured bacterium. RNAcentral describes it as "partial 16S ribosomal RNA". It matches the Rfam family "Bacterial small subunit ribosomal RNA", at positions 524 to 776 of the family's 1533-position model. The record is from RNAcentral.